This 429-nucleotide ribosomal RNA is filed under the name Gemmatimonadota bacterium. RNAcentral's name for it is "Gemmatimonadetes bacterium partial 16S ribosomal RNA". It matches the Rfam family "Bacterial small subunit ribosomal RNA", at positions 355 to 776 of the family's 1533-position model. Lineage: Bacteria; Pseudomonadati; Gemmatimonadota. The record is from RNAcentral.
UAGGGAAUCUUCGGCAAUGGACGAAAGUCUGACCGAGCAACGCCGCGUGAGUGAAGAAGGUUUUCGGAUCGUAAAACUCUGUUGUUAGAGAAGUACAAGGACGUUAGUAACUGAACGUCCCCUGACGGUAUCUAACCAGAAAGCCACGGCUAACUACGUGCCAGUAGCCGCGGUAAUACGUAGGCGGCAAGCGUUGUCCGGAUUUACUGGGCGUAAAGCGAGCGCAGGCGGUUUCUUAAGUCUGAUGUGAAAGCCCCCGGCUCAACCGGGGAGGGUCAUUGGAAGCUGGGAGACUUGAGUGCAGAAGAGGAGAGUGGAAUUCCAUGUGUAGCGGUGAAAUGCGUAGAUAGAUGGAGGGACACCAGUGGCGAAGGCGGCUCUCUGGUCUGUAACUGACGCUGAGGCUCGAAAGCGUGGGGAGCAAACAGG